This 824-nucleotide ribosomal RNA is filed under the name Striatibotrys rhabdosporus. RNAcentral's name for it is "eukaryotic LSU rRNA". It matches the Rfam family "Eukaryotic large subunit ribosomal RNA", at positions 74 to 935 of the family's 3401-position model. Lineage: Eukaryota; Fungi; Ascomycota; Sordariomycetes; Hypocreales; Stachybotryaceae. The record is from RNAcentral.
AUUGCCUCAGUAACGGCGAGUGAAGCGGCAACAGCUCAAAUUUGAAAUCUGGCCCCAGGCCCGAGUUGUAAUUUGCAGAGGAUGCUUUUGGCGCGGUGCCUUCCGAGUUCCCUGGAACGGGACGCCAUAGAGGGUGAGAGCCCCGUCUGGUUGGACACCAAGCCUUUGUAAAGCUCCUUCGACGAGUCGAGUAGUUUGGGAAUGCUGCUCUAAAUGGGAGGUACAUGUCUUCUAAAGCUAAAUACCGGCCAGAGACCGAUAGCGCACAAGUAGAGUGAUCGAAAGAUGAAAAGCACUUUGGAAAGAGAGUUAAACAGCACGUGAAAUUGUUAAAAGGGAAGCGUUUAUGACCAGACGUGGGCCGGUUAAUCAUCCAGCGUUCUCGCUGGUGCACUUUGCCGGUCCAGGCCAGCAUCAGUUCGCUGCGGGGGAUAAAGGCUUUGGGAAUGUAGCUCCUCGGAGUGUUAUAGCCCUUUGCGUAAUACCCUGCGGCGGACUGAGGUUCGCGCUCUGCAAGGAUGCUGGCGUAAUGGUCAUCAACGACCCGUCUUGAAACACGGACCAAGGAGUCGUCUUCGUAUGCGAGUGUUCGGGUGUAAAACCCCUACGCGAAAUGAAAGUGAACGCAGGUGAGAGCUUCGGCGCAUCAUCGACCGAUCCUGAUGUUCUCGGAUGGAUUUGAGUAAGAGCAUACGGGGCCGGACCCGAAAGAAGGUGAACUAUGCCUGUAUAGGGUGAAGCCAGAGGAAACUCUGGUGGAGGCUCGCAGCGGUUCUGACGUGCAAAUCGAUCGUCAAAUAUGGGCAUGGGGGCGAAAGACUAAU